AACGUUUCAGUUUCGCCGAGUGUUUUAAUAACAUGAAAGCUCCAGCGCGUGCGUUUACCGUAAGCUGCAAGCGCGUGCGUCCCGAGAAACUUACGCGAAUCCGCACUGAUAUUUCUGUCCUUACUAUAAGAUCAGCACAUGAACCUGAGCAAAGCAAACCAUUCCUCACUGUUCAGCUGACCAAGCAAACCAUUUCUGCGUGUUUCCUACACAGAGUGUGCUGUGAAACCUUACACACACACACACACACACACACACACACACACACUUUCCAUUGACAUAAUUGUUAGUGAAACUAAUUAAUGCCUAAACUUUAACUUCAGGAAGAUUAGGUGAUUUUAUUUAUUUAUUUAUUUACUUACUUACUUACUUCUAUAAAAAACAAUAACUGUCAGAUAUUCCUAUCAUUGUGGGGACAUUUGGUCUCCAGUAAACAUACAUCCCCUCCAUAAACCCCCACCACACACACACACACACACACACACACACACACUGCAGUAUUGUCAGCACAAUAGUUACACAAUAGUAGUAGUCAAUAAAAUGCAUUUCAAAAUAGAUUGAGAUUUCCCCCCAGUAAAUUAUUGUUUUGUUUUGUUCAUUAUGUAGUUCAUGUGUGUACAGCUCUGAAGUUACUGUUUCUGGCAGUAUCUGUUAUGCUGUAAAGUGCUUUGUUCUCCAUUUGGCCACAACCAGGUGAGGAAAUGCUAAUUGGUUCCAGUAAACCAGUAAAGAGAGCCUGGUUUCUUUCACUUACAUCAUGAAAUAACAUAUUAAAUGACUUCAGUGAAAAUAGCUCAAUGACAGAAUAAAUGGCUAACAAUCUUCAUGGCUGAGAAUUAUAGAAAUAAAAAAACACUAACGUGCACUGCGUCGAUCAGAACUACUUUAGUCUCAGUUUCAGCUGUCAGGAAGUUGUGGUACGGUUUAAAAAUUUAAAUAAAACUGUAUUUAUUUGAAACCACGAGCCCAUUACUUUAUAGCAGUAAAUUGGCUAGAAGUUUAAAUGUGAUUAUUUAUUAUACUGUGUUUUUGCCUUCAUCAAUAUUCUGUUGUUAUUUUUUGCAGUCAUAACUGCACCUAGACAGGCAUGUGAGUCAUCUUAUUUGCAUGGAUUCAUGAGUCUUUCUUAUAGAAAGUGUAUAAUAAACAAAAAUUCCCUGAUUACACCACGUUGGCCAGACCGUAAAUUUUCAAGCACAUGACUUUGCUAGUCACGGUUAUGACAGCCAAUCCCUGCCUGUAAGUCUGAACUGGUGCUGGCAGGCUAAAAACAGCUACACCUUCUCAUGUUCUGUUAUUAAUAGCACCCUUUCCUUGUGUUUGUACAGUUUAGCUGAAAAUGAACUGGGUUUUUUUGUUCGUUUUGUUUUCUUUUGUUUUCUUUUUUUUUAAUAUAUAAGGCAUAAGGCAUUUUGAAAAUUUCCCUUGUGUCAUUUGGGUAGCUUUCGGCUUCUGAGCACUCCUGUUUCUUUUUUUGGGAGCUGUCUCAGGAGUAUGGAAACUCACCCUCAUGACUCACCAAAGGCUGUGUGUGCUCUCUUUCAGAGAAUAUAAUAAUAAUAAUAAUAAUUAUAAUAAUAAUAAAGGCAUUAACAAUGUUACACAAUAUCUUUGUAUGGGAUAUUAAUGUACUGCAUAUUGUUGAACACAAAAGUUUGUUCAGGAAAGGAGAUAUUUUUUACAUAUGUAGAAGGAAUAAUAUAAUAUGUCCAUAUACACUAUACAAAUAAUUUCCCAGAAUACAAUAAUUAUGGUAAUUUUUUUAAAAUAUAUAUAUUUAUUUAACUUUUAAAUAAAUGGAAAUAAACAUGCAUUGUUGUCAUUUUAAGCAGUAGCAUUCUCCUCAGUGAAAAUGAUUGAUAUUGCACCAUUAACCCAUGAUACUAGAACAUGCUGAAACUGAGGUGUAUGUUUUUUUUUUUAAUGAUUUUGUUCACAUUAAAUUGAAUUAAUUUCACAGGCAUACAGCUGGUGUCUGAAAUAACAAUAGUCUGUUAUGUAACCUGUUACUGAACCUUAUAACCUUUCGUUCCAUUCUGAUUCAGCUGCACGAAUCUCUACCUUCUGUUUCCCUUCUGGGUAAGAAUCAGUGUGUCAUCAUUCCCUGAGCUUCACACAGACUUUCAUAAGUUAUAGGAAGAGUUAAAUCCACCGCUCUUUUUCAAGCACAUGAAUGGUGGAAGUCAUCCACCACACUGCCUCUCUCUGAGCUGCUGAAAUCUCCUUAUUCAAGUCAGGCAAGCCUACAAAUCAUGGGAACCGUACUUCGUCAUCCUUGAUGCCCUUUGAGGAUGUGAACGGACAGGUCUAUCUAUUAACUUCCUCAAAAUGGUGCUUAAUUGGAUCUCUUCAUUCCUCCUCCAAGGACAUUCAUACUUUGAGAUUGUAACUUCACGGGCUGCUCGUCUCCUGUGCACACUAAAACUACAUCCAGACCAUGCUGGCUGGCAUGACACGUUACAUUUCCAUACAGAUUUUAGGUGUCAAAAUGUUUCUAAGUAAGUAACAGAUAAGUGCACACACCCAUAUUAUACAAAUAGCAGAUUUGGAUAACACCAAUGCUUGAUUAAUCAUCCAGAAAGAAAUGAACAUGACAUUUACAUUACAGCUAACGACUGUGUAUGAUUCAAGGGUACAGUAUAAUUUAAAAACACAGUAUAAUUUAAACACAGUAUAAUUUAAAAGGGUUUACAUGAAUUCAGUUCUAAUUAGCCAAAGAAAAGCAGAUGAAACUAUUGGUAUAUAUUGUGCUGAAGUAGCAUGAAAAAUGUGACAUAGUCAGCUGACAUGCUGUCUUUAUGACUUGGUGAAAUAAGAUAUAACUGACUCAAUCAACACAGACAUUUAAAUAGUUUCAGGGAGGGGAACUGAUUCACUGGUUAAGAGUGAGGUAAUAACUGAACACUACCAUAACAGUGCUGGUGUGUUUGUAUUUGUGCAUCUUUGGCUGCAUUGCUAGUUGCUGUAAGGAGAAAGAACGACCGUGUUGAAUAUCAACUGGAUUCAAAUCUUACAUCUUCAGAAGCACUUUGCUUGCACAGCUGAUGAAGGACAUCUGCCAAAAAACAUGCAGUUUCAAUGAAAACUUACAAUGCCUCUGACAAUUAUUUUUAACAGGCCAACAGUCAGUAAGGCCUAUUUAACACCAGACACAGUAAAAGCGUCGCGUGUCUGCGCUGGGUCCAGUAAGCUUCCGUAUUAGGCAAAAAAUGUGCCCUUUUACACCGGACACAAAGGUUAUUGGCUAAAGGAUAUUUUUCACUUGUGCCAUAACGUCCAAGAUUAGAAAUACUAGUUUCCUUCAAAGUCUGGUCACUAAAUAAAAGUAAAAAUAAAAAUACACAUGUUCCAUCAUUUGCCUAAAUAAUUAAGGUAAGCGCACUCAUUUGAUAAAGCAGUUAUUGUUUCUCUGUAAGUUACUGUAAGUCCAGAUUUGUCUUACAGUUGAUGUGAGAGUACAGAAUGUGUUGUGUGCUACAACUGCACAAUCAGAGUGAAACAGGCCUUUUCAAGUCAGAUUUCUCUUCCCAGUUACAAACAUUACUCAGUUCAUUUAAACCUAUUUUUUACUAGUUCUAGAGUUUAUAAAAACUUUUGAAUGGCAGUGUAAAUGUUACACACGCAUGAUUCAUGUAAAUUGAAGCUCAAUAUUUGAAUAAAUGACAAAGACCAAUGCUUUAAAAUGCAUUUCUGUGAGUCUUUUAAGUCUUAUCUGUUUUGCAAAUUUUGGAAAGCACCGUUUACGAAUAGCGCUUACGACCAACUGUU
Molecule: long non-coding RNA, 3768 nt
Organism: Pangasianodon hypophthalmus (striped catfish)
Lineage: Eukaryota; Metazoa; Chordata; Actinopteri; Siluriformes; Pangasiidae
Exons: 3
Source: RefSeq, a predicted model, not a curated record